GUAAAUAACAGCACAAAGCAAUGGUAUGAAGAACAGUAGUACAAUAGAGGUCAUAUAUUGUCACAUCAAUCAGUUUGGUCUUUAUAAGGUACUUGGGAAAUAAAUAGGAGAGGAGCUGUUAGACGCUCUAAGAAACACAUCCAAGUCCAUCCAAUGUUCACCACAGCACAGGCAGCAGGAUCACAGUUACAGUAGGAGAGGUGGGGCUGCGUUGCUAAUCUGAUUGAUGAAGCAUGGAUUCUCUAGCCUGGUCAAGCUCAUUCCAAGACAGAUACAGUCAAAAUUAAAAAAUUAAAAACAUUAUCUAUAUCUGCUAUUUUCUACUAUACUCAAUGUCGUGUUCAAUUUCAACAUAAUGUGUCCCUUGCAUACCUGCUGUGUUAAUGAAUUAUAAUAAUGGACUAUUGUUGCAUUGAAUUAAUAAUAUUACCGCAAUUAGCCCGACUAACCGGUGCCCCAGCACAUUGAUUCUGUACCAGUACCCCCUGUAUAUAGCCUCCACAUUGACUCUGUACCGGUACCCCCUGUAUAUAGACUCCACAUUGACUCUGUACCGGUACCCCCUGUAUAUAACCUCCACAUUGACUCUGUACUGGUACCCCCUGUAUAUAGACUCCACAUUGACUCUACAGGUACCCCCUGUAUAUAGCCUCCACAUUGACUCUAUACCGGUACCCCCUGUAUAUAGCCUCCACAUUGACUCUGUACCGGUACCCCCUGUAUAUAGCCUCCACAUUGACUCUGUACCAGUACCCCCUGUAUAUAGCCUCCACAUUGACUCUGUACCAGUACCCCC
This is a long non-coding RNA of Oncorhynchus tshawytscha (Chinook salmon), 796 nucleotides long. NCBI's taxonomy places the organism in Eukaryota, Metazoa, Chordata, Actinopteri, Salmoniformes, Salmonidae. The record is from Ensembl.